AGUGAACGCUGGCGGUAGGCCUAACACAUGCAAGUCGAACGGCAGCACAGUAAGAGCUUGCUCUUACGGGUGGCGAGUGGCGGACGGGUGAGGAAUACAUCGGAAUCUACUUUUUCGUGGGGGAUAACGUAGGGAAACUUACGCUAAUACCGCAUACGACCUACGGGUGAAAGCAGGGGAUCUUCGGACCUUGCGCGAUUGAAUGAGCCGAUGUCGGAUUAGCUAGUUGGCGGGGUAAAGGCCCACCAAGGCGACGAUCCGUAGCUGGUCUGAGAGGAUGAUCAGCCACACUGGAACUGAGACACGGUCCAGACUCCUACGGGAGGCAGCAGUGGGGAAUAUUGGACCAAGGGCGCAAGCCUGAUCCAGCCAUACCGCGUGGGUGAAGAAGGCCUUCGGGUUGUAAAGCCCUUUUGUUGGGAAAGAAAAGCAGCAGGUUAAUACCCCGCUGUUCUGACGGUACCCAAAGAAUAAGCACCGGCUAACUUCGUG
Molecule: ribosomal RNA, 492 nt
Filed under: uncultured bacterium
Lineage: Bacteria
Description: partial 16S ribosomal RNA
Rfam family: Bacterial small subunit ribosomal RNA
Source: RNAcentral